Molecule: ribosomal RNA, 200 nt
Filed under: uncultured Geobacillus sp.
Lineage: Bacteria; Bacillati; Bacillota; Bacilli; Caryophanales; Anoxybacillaceae
Description: partial 16S ribosomal RNA
Rfam family: Bacterial small subunit ribosomal RNA
Source: RNAcentral
UCCUACGGGAGGCAGCAGUAGGGAAUCUUCCGCAAUGGGCGAAAGCCUGACGGAGCGACGCCGCGUGAGCGAAGAAGGCCUUCGGGUCGUAAAGCUCUGUUGUGAGGGACGAAGGAGCGCCGUUCGAAGAGGGCGGCGCGGUGACGGUACCUCACGAGAAAGCCCCGGCUAACUACGUGCCAGCAGCCGCGGUAAUAAAA